RNAcentral lists this ribosomal RNA (375 nucleotides) under Flavobacteriales bacterium. RNAcentral's name for it is "bacterial SSU rRNA". It matches the Rfam family "Bacterial small subunit ribosomal RNA", at positions 1 to 366 of the family's 1533-position model. The record is from RNAcentral. Lineage: Bacteria; Pseudomonadati; Bacteroidota; Flavobacteriia; Flavobacteriales.
UUUAUACAACGAAGAGUUUGAUCCUGGCUCAGGAUGAACGCUAGCGGCAGGCCUAACACAUGCAAGUCGAACGGUAACAGGGAUUGCUUGCAAUCCGCUGACGAGUGGCGCACGGGUGCGUAACGCGUAUGCAAUCUGCCUAUAACUGAGGAAUAGCCCAGAGAAAUUUGGAUUAAUACCUCAUAAUAUUGUUUUAUGGCAUCAUUUAACAAUUAAAACUUCGGUGGUUAUAGAUGAGCAUGCGUCCUAUUAGCUUGUUGGUAAGGUAACGGCUUACCAAGGCAACGAUAGGUAGGGGGCCUGAAAGGGUGAUCCCCCACACUGGUACUGAGACACGGACCAGACUCCUACGGGAGGCAGCAGUGAGGAAUAUUG